RNAcentral lists this ribosomal RNA (253 nucleotides) under uncultured bacterium. Its description in RNAcentral is "partial 16S ribosomal RNA". It matches the Rfam family "Bacterial small subunit ribosomal RNA", at positions 524 to 776 of the family's 1533-position model. The record is from RNAcentral.
UACGUAGGGUGCAAGCGUUGUCCGGAAUUAUUGGGCGUAAAGAGCUCGUAGGCGGUUUGUCGCGUCGAAUGUGAAAACCCGGGGCUCAACUCCGGGCCUGCAGUCGAUACGGGCUGGCUUGAGUGCGGUAGGGGAGACUGGAAUUCCUGGUGUAGCGGUGAAAUGCGCAGAUAUCAGGAAGAACACCAACGGCGAAGGCAGCUCGCUGGGACGGUACUGACGCUGAGACGCGAAAGCGUGGGGAGCGAACAGG